Molecule: small nuclear RNA, 107 nt
Organism: Molossus molossus (Pallas's mastiff bat)
Lineage: Eukaryota; Metazoa; Chordata; Mammalia; Chiroptera; Molossidae
Source: RefSeq, a predicted model, not a curated record
GUGCUUGAUUUGGCAGCGUGUAUACUAGAAUUGGAACAAUACAGAGAAGAUUAGCAUGGCCCCUGAACAAGAAUGACACACAAAUUUGUGAAGUGUUCCAUAUUUAU